UACGUAGGGGGCAAGCGUUGUCCGGAAUCAUUGGGCGUAAAGCGCUCGUAGGCGGCCCGGUAAGUCCGCUCUGAAAGUCCAAGGCUCAACCUUGGGAUGCGGGUGGAUACUGCCGGGCUAGAGUCCGGAAGAGGCGAGUGGAAUUCCUGGUGUAGCGGUGGAAUGCGCAGAUAUCAGGAGGAACACCGAUAGCGAAGGCAGCUCGCUGGGACGGUACUGACGCUAAGGCGCGAAAGCGUGGGGAGCGAACAGG
RNAcentral lists this ribosomal RNA (253 nucleotides) under uncultured bacterium. Its description in RNAcentral is "partial 16S ribosomal RNA". It matches the Rfam family "Bacterial small subunit ribosomal RNA", at positions 524 to 776 of the family's 1533-position model. The record is from RNAcentral.